CAAAUCAUAGGCCCACACAGUGUCUAUUCCCUCUCCAGUUGUACGAUCUGGGAUCCAGCAUGGGAAUGGAAAACGACAAGCAAUGAUUCUGGCAUUACAUUCAAGUUCUUCUCUGAGCUUCUUCUCCAACUCUGGCAUCAUUUGAGGUACCCCAAAAACAACAACAUUUGUAUAACGUGAAAAAGAAACCUUCCAUAAAUCUGAAAUAUAAAACUUGGCUUUGUGAUGUACC
RNAcentral lists this long non-coding RNA (232 nucleotides) under Gallus gallus (chicken). Lineage: Eukaryota; Metazoa; Chordata; Aves; Galliformes; Phasianidae. The record is from RNAcentral.